CCUGACUGAAAGGAGUGUCCAAACACCUGAUGAAGGAGAUGCUGAAAGGUCGUGCAUGCCUGUGUGCUCGGUCGUGUCGACUCUUUGCGACCCCAUGGACUGCAGCCCCCCAGGCUCCUCUGUCCAUGGGAUUCCCAUGGACAAUGGGAAAUAGAACGAGAAUAGGACAAGAAUACUAGAGCGGGUUGCCAUCUUCUACUCCAGGGGACCUUCCUGACCCAGAGAUCGAACCCAUAUCUCCUGCAUUGGCAGGCAGAUUCUUUACCACUGAGCCACCUGGGGAGCCCUCAUUAAAAGAUCAUUUUCAAGGAAAAGAUCAUGAUUCCAUACAGAUAAAAAGAUGAAUAUAUGUUAAACAUUUUAAUUUAUAAGGGAACCAGGCAGAUGUUAUAACCAACAACAGAACACUCACAUUCAUAGGUCAGGAAUAUUGAAAUGAAUGGGCAGAUGGAGGUGAAACUGAUUUUUCCACAAGGGGAUAGGGGAAACCUCUAAGACAGGAUAAAUUUAUCGUUACUUCAAUUUACCGGGCUGUAAAACAGCUCAAAGAUGAUGAAAGGCUAGAAUCCACUAACUCAGAAGAUGUGCUGCAUGUAGAGUCUGUAGUUUUCCACUGAAGAGCACAUUUUUUUUUUUUCCUCUGCAAAAGGAAGGUCAUGGCUAGGGCAGACUCCAAGGUCUCUGAGCUGAUGAUCAUUCAUGAGAUUAGUGUGAUUCACACACCAUGAAUGCAAGAGCCUUUCUGAAUGCACGGGGAAAGUACACCUCACUUGCAGAAGCCCACAGCCUAAAAUCAACAUCUCUUUAAAAUGAAGGCCUCAAGACAUUUAAGAUUGUUUUCAGCUGGAUUUGGGCAUCUGUGUUACAUGAUGGGCUCUGGAACAUUCUUGAACAUCUUCAUGCAGGAUCUUAGUUCCCUGACCAGGGGUCGAACUUGCACCCCCUGCAGUGGAAGCAUGGAAUCUUAACUACUGGACCACCAGGGAAGCUCCCGUGAUGUGCAGCUUGUCUUUGAACUGGGAUAUUAACAGUAGCUACUUCAUAGAUUAUUGUUUUUUACCAGUAAGUAUUCACAAUAUUAGCAUUGUAACUUAAUAAAACCAUUUCUCUGAAAAUGUACUGUAGUCUCUGAGAUUCUUCU
This is a long non-coding RNA of Bos taurus (domestic cattle), 1141 nucleotides long. The record is from Ensembl. NCBI's taxonomy places the organism in Eukaryota, Metazoa, Chordata, Mammalia, Artiodactyla, Bovidae.